GCGGGAUUAGUUUAGUGGCAAAACAUGAGUUUUCCAAACUCAGGUCGCCGGUCCGAUUCCGGCAUCCCGCA
This 71-nucleotide transfer RNA is filed under the name bacterium. RNAcentral describes it as "tRNA-Gly". It matches the Rfam family "tRNA". From Rfam's summary of the family: Transfer RNA (tRNA) molecules are approximately 80 nucleotides in length. Their secondary structure includes four short double-helical elements and three loops (D, anti-codon, and T loops). Further hydrogen bonds mediate the characteristic L-shaped molecular structure. tRNAs have two regions of fundamental functional importance: the anti-codon, which is responsible for specific mRNA codon recognition, and the 3' end, to which the tRNAs corresponding amino acid is attached (by aminoacyl-tRNA synthetases). tRNAs cope with the degeneracy of the genetic code in two manners: having more than one tRNA (with a specific anti-codon) for a particular amino acid; and 'wobble' base-pairing, i.e. permitting non-standard base-pairing at the 3rd anti-codon position. The record is from RNAcentral.